UACCGACUCGUUAAACAGACAAGAAACUUGUGCAGAGGCCAGCUCUACAACCACAACCAAGUUUGACCUCAAAUCAGGUAGGACUACCCGCUGAACUUAAGCAUAUCAAUAAGCGGAGGAAAAGAAACCAACAGGGAUUGCCUCAGUAACGGCGAGUGAAGCGGCAAAAGCUCAAAUUUGAAAUCCAGUACCUUUGGUGCUCGAGUUGUAAUUUGAAGAUGGUAACUUUGGACGUGGCCUUCAUCUAUGUUCCUUGGAACAGGACGUCGCAGAGGGUGAGAAUCCCGUGUGAUGAGGAGAUCCAUGUCUAUGUAAAGUGCUGUCGACGAGUCGAGUUGUUUGGGAAUGCAGCUCUAAGUGGGUGGUAAAUUCCAUCUAAAGCUAAAUAUUGGCGAGAGACCGAUAGCGAACAAGUACAGUGAUGGAAAGAUGAAAAGAACUUUGAAAAGAGAGUGAAAAAGUACGUGAAAUUGUUGAAAGGGAAGGGUAUUAGAUCAGACUUGGUGGUGUGUGAAAAUCUUCUCCUUGUGGGGAGUGCACUCGCGCACUUGCUGGGCCAGCAUCGAUUGGGGUGGCAGGAUAACAGCGCUUGAACGUGGCUCUUCGGAGUGUUAUAGCUUGUGCCAAUGCUGCCGACCUCGAUCGAGGACUGCGCUGCCUUCGGGUAGC
RNAcentral lists this ribosomal RNA (669 nucleotides) under Wickerhamomyces sp. CRUB1998. Its description in RNAcentral is "eukaryotic LSU rRNA". It matches the Rfam family "Eukaryotic large subunit ribosomal RNA", at positions 1 to 535 of the family's 3401-position model. Lineage: Eukaryota; Fungi; Ascomycota; Saccharomycetes; Phaffomycetales; Wickerhamomycetaceae. The record is from RNAcentral.